This 837-nucleotide ribosomal RNA is filed under the name Triticum aestivum (bread wheat). Its description in RNAcentral is "partial small subunit ribosomal RNA". The record is from RNAcentral. Lineage: Eukaryota; Viridiplantae; Streptophyta; Magnoliopsida; Poales; Poaceae.
AUGCUUGUUAAUGCUCAUGGUGGUUCUCAGUUUUGGAAGGCCUUUGUUAAAGUUAGGCCCCUGUUCCAGGCUCAUGUUAAAUUUAUAGUUGGGGAUGGCUCCUCCAUUAGAUUUUGGCUGGACUGGUGGUGUGGAGAUUCACCGCUCUCGGUGACCUUCCCCACCUUGUUCUCCUAUUGUCCGGACCCGUUUAUUUCUAUUGCUAAGUUGGCAUCCCAGGGUUGGAACCUGGCCUUUCGCCGAUCCUUGUCGCAUGUAGACUUUGAAGAUUGGCAACGCCUUACUGCCUUCUUCCCCCCGCUCUCGACGAAUACGGAUUCGGUGAUCUGGCCGUACUCUGCCUCGGGGUGUUUUUCUGUUAAAUCGCUUUACUCUAAGCUUAUUGGUGGCGCUCCUACUAACCGUUUCUCUCAGAUUUGGAAGGCUCGGAUCCCGCCUAAAGUUAAGAUAUUCUUGUGGCAAGCCUUUAGGGGCCGGUUGCCUUCGGCUGACCAGAUUCACAAGAGAAACGGGCCGGGCUCUAUAUUUUGCGCCCUUUGUGGUGAUGUAGAGGACACGGCUCAUAUUUUCUUUCACUGUGCCUUAGCUAAGCUCAACUGGAGUUGUGUUCGUGACUGGCUUCAGGUCUCCUGGCCCCUGUUUCUUCCUCUGAUCUGUGGACUCUUGCGAGUACCUUGUCUGGUGUCUCCAGACGCAUCUUUUGGGUGGGCCUGGGUACUGUUUGUUGGUCCCGUUGGACGACUAGAAACAAGUUUACUAUUGAACAUGUGUUUUCGGCUAAACCUGCUGAUUGCUUAUUUAAAUCGUAUGCUCUCUUGCAGCAGUGGAAAUCAUUGA